CCUACGGGAGGCAGCAGUAGGGAAUCUUCCACAAUGGGCGAAAGCCUGAUGGAGCAACGCCGCGUGAGUGAAGAAGGAUUUCGGUUCGUAAAACUCUGUUGUAAGGGAAGCGGUACCUUAUUAGAAAGCCACGGCUAACUACGUGCCAGCAGCCGCGGUAAUACGUAGGUGGCAAGCGUUGUCCGGAAUUAUUGGGCGUAAAGCGCGCGCAGGUGGUUUCUUAAGUCUGAUGUGAAAGCCCACGGCUCAACCGUGGAGGGUCAUUGGAAACUGGGAGACUUGAGUGCAGAAGAGGAUAGUGGAAUUCCAAGUGUAGCGGUGAAAUGCGUAGAGAUUUGGAGGAACACCAGUGGCGAAGGCGACUAUCUGGUCUGUACUGACACUGAGGCGCGAAAGCGUGGGGAGCAAACAGGAUUAGAUACCCUUGUAGUC
RNAcentral lists this ribosomal RNA (432 nucleotides) under uncultured bacterium. RNAcentral's name for it is "partial 16S ribosomal RNA". It matches the Rfam family "Bacterial small subunit ribosomal RNA", at positions 338 to 795 of the family's 1533-position model. The record is from RNAcentral.